GAUGAACGCUGGCGGCGUGCCUAAUACAUGCAAGUCGAGCGAACAGACGAGGCGCUUGCUCCUCUGACGUUAGCGGCGGACGUGUGUGUAACACGUGUAUCACCUACCUAUCAUACUGGUAUCACUUCGGGACACCGGCGCUAAUACCGUAUAAUCUAUUGCUCCGCAUGGUUCAAUAGUGAAAGACGGUUUUGCUGUCACUUCUAGCUGCAUCCGCGCCGCAUUAGCUAGUUGUUACGUUUACGGCCUACCACGGCAACCAUGCGUAGCCGACCUGUGAGAGGGAUCGGCCACACUGGAGGUGAGACACGGACAAGACGACUAAGGGAGGCAGCAGUAGGGAAUGGUCCGCAGUGGGCGAAAGCAUGACGGAGCAACGCCGCGUGAGUGAUGAAGGUCUUCGGAGCGUAAAAAUCUGUUAUGAGGGAAGAACAAAUGUGGAAGGAACUAUGCACGUAUUGACGGUACCGAAUAAGAAAGCCACGGCUAACUACGUG
This 497-nucleotide ribosomal RNA is filed under the name uncultured bacterium. Its description in RNAcentral is "partial 16S ribosomal RNA". It matches the Rfam family "Bacterial small subunit ribosomal RNA", at positions 28 to 507 of the family's 1533-position model. The record is from RNAcentral.